This 509-nucleotide ribosomal RNA is filed under the name uncultured bacterium. Its description in RNAcentral is "bacterial SSU rRNA". It matches the Rfam family "Bacterial small subunit ribosomal RNA", at positions 29 to 526 of the family's 1533-position model. The record is from RNAcentral.
AGUGAACGCUGGCGGCAGGCCUAACACAUGCAAGUCGAACGGCAGCACAGUGGUAGCAAUACCAUGGGUGGCGAGUGGCGGACGGGUGAGGAAUACAUCGGAAUCUACCUUUUCGUGGGGGAUAACGUAGGGAAACUUACGCUAAUACCGCAUACGACCUCCGGGUGAAAGCAGGGGACCUUCGGGCCUUGCGCGAUUAGAUGAGCCGAUGUCCGAUUAGCUAGUUGGCGGGGUAAAGGCCCACCAAGGCGACGAUCGGUAGCUGGUCUGAGAGGAUGAUCAGCCACACUGGAACUGAGACACGGUCCAGACUCCUACGGGAGGCAGCAGUGGGGAAUAUUGGACAAUGGGCGCAAGCCUGAUCCAGCCAUGCCGCGUGGGUGAAGAAGGCCUUCGGGUUGUAAAGCCCUUUUGUUGGGAAAGAAAAGCAGUCGGUUAAUACCCGAUUGUUCUGACGGUACCCAAAGAAUAAGCACCGGCUAACUUCGUGCCAGCCGCCGCCGUAAAAC